RNAcentral lists this unclassified non-coding RNA (208 nucleotides) under Pseudomonas cichorii. Its description in RNAcentral is "Pseudomonas sRNA P29". The record is from RNAcentral. Lineage: Bacteria; Pseudomonadati; Pseudomonadota; Gammaproteobacteria; Pseudomonadales; Pseudomonadaceae.
AAGCUACUGGGGGAGCCGAAGCUCCCCCAAAGUGCGUGCUCUUUAUUUUUAUUGUCUUGUCGGGCUUCUUGUUUUUGUUGAGUGCCCAUCCACAGGGUUUCGCCUGUGAAAUCUCCCAAUCGGGAGUCAAGAGCAAACGGAUUGCUUUGGUCGCUGCGUUGCAAUGAUCAUUCGAUCCAACCAGUUCAGGCGCUACCUAAGGGUAGUU